RNAcentral lists this ribosomal RNA (497 nucleotides) under uncultured bacterium. RNAcentral describes it as "partial 16S ribosomal RNA". It matches the Rfam family "Bacterial small subunit ribosomal RNA", at positions 28 to 507 of the family's 1533-position model. The record is from RNAcentral.
GAUGAACGCUGGCGGCGUGCCUAAUACAUGCAAGUCGAGCGAACAGACGAGGAGCUUGCUCCUCUGACGUUAGCGGCGGACGGGUGAGUAACACGUGGAUAACCUACCUAUAAGACUGGGAUAACUUCGGGAAACCGGAGCUAAUACCGGAUAAUAUAUUGAACCGCAUGGUUCAAUAGUGAAAGACGGUUUUGCUGUCACUUCUAGAUGGAUCCGCGCCGCAUUAGCUAGUUGGUAAGGUAACGGCUUACAAAGGCAACGAUGCGUAGCCGACCUGAGAGGGUGAUCGGCCACACUGGAACUGAGACACGGUCCAGACUCCUACGGGAGGCAGCAGUAGGGAAUCUUCCGCAAUGGGCGAAAGCCUGACGGAGCAACGCCGCGUGAGUGAUGAAGGUCUUCGGAUCGUAAAACUCUGUUAUUAGGGAAGAACAAAUGUGUAAGUAACUAUGCACGUCUUGACGGUACCUAAUCAGAAAGCCACGGCUAACUACGUG